Molecule: ribosomal RNA, 496 nt
Filed under: uncultured bacterium
Lineage: Bacteria
Description: partial 16S ribosomal RNA
Rfam family: Bacterial small subunit ribosomal RNA
Source: RNAcentral
GAUGAACGCUGGCGGCGUGCCUAAUACAUGCAAGUCGAGCGAACAGACGAGGAGCUUGCUCCUCUGACGUUAGCGGCGGACGGGUGAGUAACACGUGGAUAACCUACCUAUAAGACUGGGAUAACUUCGGGAAACCGGAGCUAAUACCGGAUAAUAUAUUGAACCGCAUGGUUCAAUAGUGAAAGACGGUUUUGCUGUCACUUAUAGAUGGAUCCGCGCCGCAUUAGCUAGUUGGUAAGGUAACGGCUUACCAAGGCAACGAUGCGUAGCCGACCUGAGAGGGUGAUCGGCCACACUGGGACUGAGACACGGUCCAGACUCCUACGGGAGGCAGCAGUAGGGAAUCUUCCGCAAUGGGCGAAAGCCUGACGGAGCAACGCCGCGUGAGUGAUGAAGGUCUUCGGAUCGUAAAACUCUGUUAUUAGGGAAGAACAAAUGUGUAAGUAACUAUGCACGUCUUGACGGUACCUAAUCAGAAAGCCACGGCUAACUACGU